AUACGGAGGGUGCAAGCGUUGUUCGGAAUUAUUGGGCGUAAAGCGCGUGUAGGCGGUCUGUUAAGUCUGGUGUGAAAGCCCUGGGCUCAACCCAGGAAGUGCAUUGGAUACUGGCAGACUUGAGUAUGGGAGAGGAAAGCGGAAUUCCGAGUGUAGGAGUGAAAUCCGUAGAUAUUCGGAGGAACACCAGUGGCGAAGGCGGCUUUCUGGACCAAUACUGACGCUGAGACGCGAAAGCGUGGGGAGCAAACAGGAUUAGAUACCCGUGUAGUCC
This 274-nucleotide ribosomal RNA is filed under the name uncultured bacterium. RNAcentral describes it as "partial 16S ribosomal RNA". It matches the Rfam family "Bacterial small subunit ribosomal RNA", at positions 523 to 796 of the family's 1533-position model. The record is from RNAcentral.